This 300-nucleotide ribosomal RNA is filed under the name uncultured Slackia sp. Its description in RNAcentral is "bacterial SSU rRNA". It matches the Rfam family "Bacterial small subunit ribosomal RNA", at positions 496 to 795 of the family's 1533-position model. The record is from RNAcentral. Lineage: Bacteria; Bacillati; Actinomycetota; Coriobacteriia; Eggerthellales; Eggerthellaceae.
GCAAACUACGGGCGUGCAGCGGGUGGAAUGCGUAGGGGCCGAUCGUUAGCCGGAGUGUCUGGGCGGAAAGCGCAUGUAGGCGGUCGAUCAAGUCGGAAGUGAAAGCUCCUGGCUUAACUGGGAGAGUGCAUUCGAAACUAGUCGGCUGGAGGGUGGUAGAGGAGAGCGGAAUUCCAGGUGUAGCGGUGAAAUGCGUAGAUAUCUGGAGGAACACCAGUGGCGAAAGCGGCUCUCUGGACCAUUCCUGACGCUGAGAUGCGAAAGCCAGGGGAGAGAACGGGAUUAGAUACCCGAGUAGUC